Molecule: ribosomal RNA, 253 nt
Filed under: uncultured bacterium
Lineage: Bacteria
Description: partial 16S ribosomal RNA
Rfam family: Bacterial small subunit ribosomal RNA
Source: RNAcentral
UACGGAGGAUGCAGGCGUUAUCCGGAAUGAUUGGGCGUAAAGCGUCCGCAGGUGGCUGUGUAAGUCUGCUGUCAAAGAGCAAAGCUCAACUUUGUAAAGGCAGUGGAAACUACACGGCUAGAGUGCGUUCGGGGCAGAGGGAAUUCCUGGUGUAGCGGUGAAAUGCGCAGAUAUUAGGAAGAACACCGGUGGCGAAGGCGGCUCUCUGGACAGUUCCUGACGCUGAGGCACGAAGGCCAGGGGAGCAAACGGG